Molecule: ribosomal RNA, 462 nt
Filed under: uncultured bacterium
Lineage: Bacteria
Description: bacterial SSU rRNA
Rfam family: Bacterial small subunit ribosomal RNA
Source: RNAcentral
CCUACGGGGGGCUGCAGUCGAGAAUCUUCGGCAAUGGGCGAAAGCCUGACCGAGCGACGCCGCGUGCGGGAUGAAGGCCUUCGGGUUGUAAACCGCUGUCGUAGAGGAGGAAAUGCAAGGGGGUUCUCCCCUUUGUUUGACCUAUUCUAGGAGGAAGUACGGGCUAAGUUCGUGCCAGCAGCCGCGGUAAGACGAACCGUACGAACGUUACUCGGAAUUACUGGGCUUAAAGGGUGCGUAGGCUGCGCGGAAAGUUGGGUGUGAAAGCCCUCGGCUCAACCGAGGAAUUGCAUUCAAAACUACCGUGCUCGAGGGAGACAGAGGUAAGCGGAACUCAAGGUGGAGCGGUGAAAUGCGUUGAUAUCUUGAGGAACACCGGUGGCGAAAGCGGCUUACUGGGUCUUUUCUGACGCUGAGGCACGAAAGCUAAGGUAGCAAACGGGAUUAGAUACCCCAGUAGUC